UCAGCCCUAAACACAAAUAAUUUCAAAAACAAAAUUAUUCGCCAGAGUACUACCGGCAACAGCCUAAAACUCAAAGGACNUGGCGGUGCUUUAUACCCUUCUAGAGGAGCCUGUUCUAUAAUCGAUAAACCCCGAUAGACCUCACCAAUUCUUGCUAAUGCAGUCUAUAUACCGCCAUCUUCAGCAAACCCUAAAAAGGAACAAAAGUAAGCGCAAUCACAACACAUAAAAACGUUAGGUCAAGGUGUAACCUAUGAAAUGGGAAGAAAUGGGCUACAUUUUCUAUUUCAAGAAAACCCACAUACGAAAGUUAUUAUGAAACUAAUAACCAAAGGAGGAUUUAGUAGUAAACUAAGAAUAGAGUGCUUAGUUGAAUUAGGCCAUGAAGCACGC
RNAcentral lists this ribosomal RNA (393 nucleotides) under Philantomba maxwellii (Maxwell's duiker). RNAcentral's name for it is "partial 12S ribosomal RNA". It matches the Rfam family "Bacterial small subunit ribosomal RNA", at positions 796 to 1384 of the family's 1533-position model. Lineage: Eukaryota; Metazoa; Chordata; Mammalia; Artiodactyla; Bovidae. The record is from RNAcentral.